Sander lucioperca (pikeperch) is the source of this 333-nucleotide long non-coding RNA. RefSeq lists it as uncharacterized. The transcript is spliced from 3 exons. Lineage: Eukaryota; Metazoa; Chordata; Actinopteri; Perciformes; Percidae. The record is from RefSeq and is a predicted model, not a curated record.
ACCCAUCAGAGACCAGACCCUGCUGAACCUGAACCUGAACCUGAACCUGAACCCAGCUGUGUGUCCAUGAAGAGUGUCCAGUCCAUGGAGACACCACUACUUUAAAAAGAAGGCGAUCUGUAAGGGAGAUUAAAAUGGAGAACAGUGUGAGGGAGCGAAUUGAAAUGGAGAGGGAAAGAUGGAGGACCAGACCAGAGUCUCCUGAAUCUGGAUAUGCAUCCAGCUGUGUUUCCUUUAAGAGCAACCGGUCAAAGGAGGAUUGGGUUGAUUUUAAACGUGUUUCUGAGAAAACGGUGGAGCCUGCUGGAGUCAGAUGGUUGACACCAGGUCUGA